AUACGUAGGUGGCGAGCGUUAUCCGGAUUUACUGGGUGUAAAGGGUGUGUAGGCGGGACUGUAAGUCAGAUGUGAAAAUCAUGGGCUCAACUCAUGACCUGCAUUUGAAACUGUGGUUCUUGAGGGUCGGAGAGGUAACCGGAAUUCCUGGGGUAGCGGUGAAAUGCGUAGAUAUCAGGAGGAACACCGGUGGCGAAGGCGGGUUACUGGACGAUUACUGACGCUGAGACACGAAAGCGUGGGGAGCAAACAGGAUUAGAUACCCUGGUAGUCCACGCUGUAAACGAUGAAUGCUAGGUGUGGGGACGUAAGUUUCCGUGCCGGAGUUAACACAAUAAGCAUUCCACCUGGGGAGUACGGCCGCAAGGUUGAAACUCAAAUGAAUUGGCGGGG
This 393-nucleotide ribosomal RNA is filed under the name uncultured bacterium. RNAcentral's name for it is "partial 16S ribosomal RNA". It matches the Rfam family "Bacterial small subunit ribosomal RNA", at positions 523 to 918 of the family's 1533-position model. The record is from RNAcentral.